GUACUUCACUAUUGUAAGUCGCUUUGGACAAAAGCGUCUGCCAAAUGCAAUGUA
Regulatory RNA element from Astyanax mexicanus (Mexican tetra), 54 nucleotides. It matches the Rfam family "UnaL2 LINE 3' element". From Rfam's summary of the family: The eel long interspersed element (LINE) UnaL2 and its partner short interspersed element (SINE) share a conserved 3' tail containing a stem-loop that is critical for their retrotransposition. Presumably, the first step of retrotransposition is the recognition of their 3' tails by UnaL2-encoded reverse transcriptase. The solution structure of a 17-nucleotide RNA derived from the 3' tail of UnaL2 was determined by NMR. NCBI's taxonomy places the organism in Eukaryota, Metazoa, Chordata, Actinopteri, Characiformes, Acestrorhamphidae. The record is from Rfam.